Molecule: signal recognition particle RNA, 123 nt
Filed under: Clostridiales bacterium
Lineage: Bacteria; Bacillati; Bacillota; Clostridia; Eubacteriales
Description: partial signal recognition particle sRNA large type
Rfam family: Bacterial large signal recognition particle RNA
About the family: The signal recognition particle (SRP) is a universally conserved ribonucleoprotein involved in the co-translational targeting of proteins to membranes. Archaeal SRP consists of a 7S RNA and homologues of the eukaryotic SRP19 and SRP54 proteins.
Source: RNAcentral
UCGUGCUAGACGGGGAUGUAGCGGCACCCUGUAACCUGCAAUCCGCUAUAGCAGGGUUGAAUUCCUUUCUGAGGCUUAUAUCCUGCAGGGCCGGCCCGGGUAAGUGGCGUUGAAGGCCGGGUC